This 255-nucleotide ribosomal RNA is filed under the name uncultured bacterium. RNAcentral describes it as "partial 16S ribosomal RNA". It matches the Rfam family "Bacterial small subunit ribosomal RNA", at positions 524 to 776 of the family's 1533-position model. The record is from RNAcentral.
UACGUAGGUGGCAAGCGUUGUCCGGAUUUACUGGGCGUAAAGGGCGUGCAGGCGGUCUGUUAAGUGCAGGGUGAAAGCUCCCGGCUCAACUGGGAGAGGUCCUUGCAUACUGGCGGACUUGAGGGGGGGUAGAGGAAAGUGGAAUUCCCGGUGUAGUGGUGAUAUGCGUAGAGAUGCGGAGGAACACCGAUGGCGAAGGCAGCCCCCCUGGGCUAACACUGACGCUCAGGCACGAAAGCGUGGGGAGCAAACAGG